AUUGAACGCUGGCGGCAGGCCUAACACAUGCAAGUCGAGCGGAUGAAGGGAGCUUGCUCCUGUAUUCAGCGGCGGACGGGUGAGUAAUGCCUAGGAAGCUGCCUGCUUGUGGGGGAUAACGUCCGGAAACGGGCGCUAAUACCGCAUACGUCCUGAUGGUGAGAGUGUGGGAUCUUCGGACCUCACGCUAUCAUAUUAGCCUAGGUCGGAUUAGCGAGUUGGUGGGGUAAAGGCCUACCAAGGAGACGUUCCGUAACUGGUCUGAGAGGAUGAUCAGUCACAAUGGAAGUGAGAAACGGUCCAGAAGACUACGGGAGGAAGCAGUGGGGAAUAUUAGACAACGGGCGAAAGAAUGAUCCAGCAGUGCCGCGUGUGUGAAGAAGGUCGUCGGCUGGUAGAGAACCUCAAGUGGGGAGGAAGGGCAGUAAGUUAAUACCUGGCUGUUUUGACGGUACCUACAUAAUAAGCACCGGCUAACUACGUG
RNAcentral lists this ribosomal RNA (484 nucleotides) under uncultured bacterium. Its description in RNAcentral is "partial 16S ribosomal RNA". It matches the Rfam family "Bacterial small subunit ribosomal RNA", at positions 30 to 507 of the family's 1533-position model. The record is from RNAcentral.